This 442-nucleotide ribosomal RNA is filed under the name uncultured bacterium. RNAcentral describes it as "partial 16S ribosomal RNA". It matches the Rfam family "Bacterial small subunit ribosomal RNA", at positions 338 to 795 of the family's 1533-position model. The record is from RNAcentral.
CCUACGGGUGGCAGCAGUGGGGAAUAUUGGGCAAUGGGCGCAAGCCUGACCCAGCAACGCCGCGUGAAGGAAGACGGCUUUCGGGUUGUAAACUUCUUUUGUCAGGGAAGAGUAGAGGACGGUACCUGACGAAUAAGCCACGGCUAACUACGUGCCAGCAGCCGCGGUAAUACGUAGGUGGCCAGCGUUGUCCGGAUUUACUGGGUGUAAAGGGCGUGUAGCCGGGUUGACAAGUCAGAUGUGAAAUCCUGCGGCUUAACCGCAGAACUGCAGUUGAAACUGUUGUUCUUGAGUACUGGAGAGGCAGAUGGAAUUCGUAGUGUAGCGGUGAAAUGCGUAGAUAUUAGGAGGAACACCAGUGGCGAAGGCGGUCUGCUGGACAGCAACUGACGGUGAGGCGCGAAAGCGUGGGGAGCAAACAGGAUUAGAUACCCGAGUAGUC